Molecule: non-coding RNA, 110 nt
Filed under: Aureoumbra lagunensis
Lineage: Eukaryota; Pelagophyceae; Sarcinochrysidales; Sarcinochrysidaceae
Source: RNAcentral
ACACAAGGAUAAUAUCAUCAUUUAAUGUUCCUCUAUUUUGUAUUAAUUAUUCUGUAGAAAAAAAGAAAAAAAAAAUCAAUAUUGAAUAACACAUUAUUUAUAUAUAAUAG